GACGAACGCUGGCGGCGUGCUUAACACAUGCAAGUCGAACGGAAAGGCCAUGCUUUUGCGGGGUGCUCGAGUGGCGAACGGGUGAGUGACACGUGAGUAUCAUGCACUUGUCUUUGGGAUAACUUCAGGAAACUGGGGCUCAUACAGGAUAGGAGCUUCUGCUGCACGGUGGGGGUUGGAAAGUUUCGGCGGUUGGGGAUAGACUCGCGGCUUAUCAGCUUGUUGGUGAGGUAGUGACUUACCAAGGCUUAGACGGAUAGCCGGCCUGAGAGGUGGACCAGCGACAUGGGGACUGAGAGACGGACCAGACGCCAACGUGAGGCAGCGGUGGGGAAUAUGGCACAAUGGGCGGAAGCCUGAGACAGCAGCGCCGGGUUCGUGAUGACGUCCUUCGGGUGGUAAACCGCUUUCGCCUUAAACGAAGCGUUAGUGACGGUAAUGGAUAAAAAAGCACCGGCUAACUACGUG
RNAcentral lists this ribosomal RNA (468 nucleotides) under uncultured bacterium. RNAcentral describes it as "partial 16S ribosomal RNA". It matches the Rfam family "Bacterial small subunit ribosomal RNA", at positions 28 to 507 of the family's 1533-position model. The record is from RNAcentral.